UUUUCACCAACGAAUACCUAAAUUUAGGGAGCAUUUACGGAACACUUAAUAAGAAUUUCAUUUUCACCAAAGCCUAGGUGUCAAAUUAUAACCUUAAAAUUUGACUUCAACUUGGGGGCCCGAUUGAUGCCUGCUUAAACAACCCCUAUCAUUAUCAUUACAGAAUACAAACAUAUUUUGAACCGUGGAUAGUGAAAUGUACCUUUAUAUGUUAACUAACACCAAAAAUACCAUGUUUAAAAAGCAAAAAAAUACAAAAAAAAAAAAUGAAACGUAAACUUUUAGAAAGUUUAGAAGCUGUGGAGGUUGUGGAUAUGUAAAAUAAUAAUCAUUAGAAGACCAUGUACCUAUCUUACGUGAAAGAGCAGAUGACUGAGAAAUAAGUACGAUGAUCAUGACUUUUUUCUAAGACUAGCCGUUUUCCCGCGGUUUCACCCGCGUCCCGUGGGAGCUACUGCCCGCACCGGGAUAAAAUAUAGCCUAUGUUACUCGCAGAUAAUAUAGCUUUCUAAUGGUGAAAGAAUAUUUAAAAUCGGUCCAGUAGUUUUUGAGUUUAUCCAUUCCAACCAAACAAACAAACAUUUUCCUCUUUAUAAUAUUAGUAUAGAUAUAGAUUAUAGGUUAUCACUUGCUAUGAAUGCACUUGCUAGGUCGUGAUGUCGCUGAAUUAUUCAAAAAUAGGUAGUCCUGCAUGUCCAUAAAUAUACAGACCAUAACAGAUGCAAAUCUGGUAAUCACUGAUGUAGUUUCGCGGUGGCCGGGACAUCUAUAGGCCUAUUCAGACCUAAGCGGUAUUCGCUACCGUCUACGGCAGAGAAAACCCUGUGGGUAUGCGGUAAUAUGACUGUUCAGACCUAAGCGGUAUUCGCUACCACCUGCGACAGAGAAAACCCAGUGGGUAUGCGAUAAUAUUACUGUUGAUGUUCGGGACGUAUGCCGCUGCUGCCGCGCGGUAUGUACUUCUACCCACAGCGGCAGUGAAUAUCGCUCAGGUUUGAAUUGGCCUUAAAUACCAAAACUGCAGUAGAUACCAAUGAUUCGAAAAUGGUGAAUAUGGAGGAGCCUAUCUAUUAGGUGAUAGGGGAUACCCUCUGGAGGUAAGAAGUAGGCUAAUAUUGAACAUAAUAAAAUAUAUAAAUUAAAACAAAGAUAGUAAACAAAUAUUUUAAUAUUAGUCCUCAUAUGAUGUACCAAACAUUAUCAUCAUCCUCCUGCACCAAUUCAAUUUGAGGUGGGCUGGGCGCAGCAUGUUUUUACACGUCUUUCCAAUUUCUCGCACCACCUGAAACUAAAUAAAUAUAAUAAAUGUAUAAUUUUAACCCCAUACUUAAAUCCAUCAACUCAUGGAGAACAAAAAUACAAUGAAGUCGACAGUAAAACAAGGAACACAGUUGUACGGCAAUAUCUUAUAUUAUUAUACACAGAUAUUAUUCACAUUUACCUGUAAACGGUUCCUAUCGCAUUAAAACUAUUUGUAACUGGAUCCAAGCUUUGUUUUUGGCUUCGUUCGUGGUCCCAUCCGUUUUUUGUUUAAUAUUGUGUCUCUAUGAGACGUCAGCAAUUUCACUAGCUUGUCUUUUUCUUCU
Helicoverpa armigera (cotton bollworm) is the source of this 1586-nucleotide long non-coding RNA. RefSeq lists it as uncharacterized. The record is from RefSeq and is a predicted model, not a curated record. The transcript is spliced from 2 exons. NCBI's taxonomy places the organism in Eukaryota, Metazoa, Arthropoda, Insecta, Lepidoptera, Noctuidae.